RNAcentral lists this ribosomal RNA (376 nucleotides) under uncultured verrucomicrobium DEV173. Its description in RNAcentral is "bacterial SSU rRNA". It matches the Rfam family "Bacterial small subunit ribosomal RNA", at positions 1035 to 1409 of the family's 1533-position model. Lineage: Bacteria; Pseudomonadati; Verrucomicrobiota. The record is from RNAcentral.
CAGGUGCUGCAUGGCCGUCGUCAGCUCGUGUCGUGAGAUGUUGGGUUAAGUCCCGCAACGAGCGCAACCCUUGUGAAUAGUUGCCAGCACGUCAUGGUGGGAACUCUAUUCAGACUGCCCAGAUCAACUGGGAGGAAGGUGGGGACGACGUGAGGUGAGUAUGGCGCCUUACGCCUUGGGCUGCACACGUACUACAAUGCCCAGUACAAUGAGAACCGAUGCCGCGAGGUGGAGGAAAUCUGCAAAACUGGGCCCAGUUCGGAUUGGAGGCUGCAACUCGCCUCCAUGAAGUUGGAAUCGCUAGUAAUGGCAGAUCAGCUACGCUGCCGUGAAUACGUUCCCGGGUCUUGUACACACCGCCCGUCACAUCAUGAAA